This 499-nucleotide ribosomal RNA is filed under the name uncultured Glomeromycotina. RNAcentral describes it as "partial small subunit ribosomal RNA". It matches the Rfam family "Eukaryotic small subunit ribosomal RNA", at positions 591 to 1091 of the family's 1831-position model. The record is from RNAcentral. Lineage: Eukaryota; Fungi; Glomeromycota.
CCAAUAGCGUAUAUUAAAGUUGUUGCAGUUAAAAAGCUCGUAGUUGAAUUUCGGGGUUAGUAGAUUGGUCAUGCCUCUGGUAUGCACUGGUCUUACUGAUUCCUCCUUCCUGAUGAACCGUAAUGCCAUUAAUUUGGUGUUGCGGGGAAACUGGACUGUUACUUUGAAAAAAUUAGAGUGUUUAAAGCAGGCUAACGCUUGAAUACAUUAGCAUGGAAUAAUGAAAUAGGACGUUCGAUCUUAUUUUGUUGGUUUCUAGGAUUGACGUAAUGAUUAAUAGGGAUAGUUGGGGGCAUUAGUAUUCAAUUGUCAGAGGUGAAAUUCUUGGAUUUAUUGAAGACUAACUACUGCGAAAGCAUUUGCCAAGGAUGUUUUCAUUAAUCAAGAACGAAAGUUAGGGGAUCGAAGACGAUCAGAUACCGUCGUAGUCUUAACCAUAAACUAUGCCGACUAGGGAUCGGAUGAUGUUAAUUUUUUAAUGACUCAUUCGGCGCCUUAC